UACAGAGGUCUCGAGCGUUGUUCGGAUUCAUUGGGCGUAAAGGGUGCGUAGGUGGCGUGGUAAGUCGGGUGUGAAAUCCCGGGGCUCAACCCCGGGACUGCAUUCGAUACUGCUGUGCUUGAGGACUGGAGAGGAGACUGGAAUUUACGGUGUAGCAGUGAAAUGCGUAGAGAUCGUAAGGAAGACCAGUGGCGAAGGCGAGUCUCUGGACAGUUACCGACGCUGAGGCACGAAGGCCAGGGGAGCAAACGGG
This 253-nucleotide ribosomal RNA is filed under the name uncultured bacterium. RNAcentral describes it as "partial 16S ribosomal RNA". It matches the Rfam family "Bacterial small subunit ribosomal RNA", at positions 524 to 776 of the family's 1533-position model. The record is from RNAcentral.